RNAcentral lists this ribosomal RNA (2761 nucleotides) under Escherichia coli. RNAcentral's name for it is "bacterial LSU rRNA". It matches the Rfam family "Bacterial large subunit ribosomal RNA". Lineage: Bacteria; Pseudomonadati; Pseudomonadota; Gammaproteobacteria; Enterobacterales; Enterobacteriaceae. The record is from RNAcentral.
ACACUAUCAUUAACUGAAUCCAUAGGUUAAUGAGGCGAACCGGGGGAACUGAAACAUCUAAGUACCCCGAGGAAAAGAAAUCAACCGAGAUUCCCCCAGUAGCGGCGAGCGAACGGGGAGCAGCCCAGAGCCUGAAUCAGUGUGUGUGUUAGUGGAAGCGUCUGGAAAGGCGCGCGAUACAGGGUGACAGCCCCGUACACAAAAAUGCACAUACUGUGAGCUCGAUGAGUAGGGCGGGACACGUGGUAUCCUGUCUGAAUAUGGGGGGACCAUCCUCCAAGGCUAAAUACUCCUGACUGACCGAUAGUGAACCAGUACCGUGAGGGAAAGGCGAAAAGAACCCCGGCGAGGGGAGUGAAAAAGAACCUGAAACCGUGUACGUACAAGCAGUGGGAGCCUCUUUAUGGGGUGACUGCGUACCUUUUGUAUAAUGGGUCAGCGACUUAUAUUCUGUAGCAAGGUUAACCGAAUAGGGGAGCCGAAGGGAAACCGAGUCUUAACUGGGCGUUAAGUUGCAGGGUAUAGACCCGAAACCCGGUGAUCUAGCCAUGGGCAGGUUGAAGGUUGGGUAACACUAACUGGAGGACCGAACCGACUAAUGUUGAAAAAUUAGCGGAUGACUUGUGGCUGGGGGUGAAAGGCCAAUCAAACCGGGAGAUAGCUGGUUCUCCCCGAAAGCUAUUUAGGUAGCGCCUCGUGAAUUCAUCUCCGGGGGUAGAGCACUGUUUCGGCAAGGGGGUCAUCCCGACUUACCAACCCGAUGCAAACUGCGAAUACCGGAGAAUGUUAUCACGGGAGACACACGGCGGGUGCUAACGUCCGUCGUGAAGAGGGAAACAACCCAGACCGCCAGCUAAGGUCCCAAAGUCAUGGUUAAGUGGGAAACGAUGUGGGAAGGCCCAGACAGCCAGGAUGUUGGCUUAGAAGCAGCCAUCAUUUAAAGAAAGCGUAAUAGCUCACUGGUCGAGUCGGCCUGCGCGGAAGAUGUAACGGGGCUAAACCAUGCACCGAAGCUGCGGCAGCGACACUAUGUGUUGUUGGGUAGGGGAGCGUUCUGUAAGCCUGUGAAGGUGUACUGUGAGGUAUGCUGGAGGUAUCAGAAGUGCGAAUGCUGACAUAAGUAACGAUAAAGCGGGUGAAAAGCCCGCUCGCCGGAAGACCAAGGGUUCCUGUCCAACGUUAAUCGGGGCAGGGUGAGUCGACCCCUAAGGCGAGGCCGAAAGGCGUAGUCGAUGGGAAACAGGUUAAUAUUCCUGUACUUGGUGUUACUGCGAAGGGGGGACGGAGAAGGCUAUGUUGGCCGGGCGACGGUUGUCCCGGUUUAAGCGUGUAGGCUGGUUUUCCAGGCAAAUCCGGAAAAUCAAGGCUGAGGCGUGAUGACGAGGCACUACGGUGCUGAAGCAACAAAUGCCCUGCUUCCAGGAAAAGCCUCUAAGCAUCAGGUAACAUCAAAUCGUACCCCAAACCGACACAGGUGGUCAGGUAGAGAAUACCAAGGCGCUUGAGAGAACUCGGGUGAAGGAACUAGGCAAAAUGGUGCCGUAACUUCGGGAGAAGGCACGCUGAUAUGUAGGUGAAGCGACUUGCUCGUGGAGCUGAAAUCAGUCGAAGAUACCAGCUGGCUGCAACUGUUUAUUAAAAACACAGCACUGUGCAAACACGAAAGUGGACGUAUACGGUGUGACGCCUGCCCGGUGCCGGAAGGUUAAUUGAUGGGGUUAGCGGUAACGCGAAGCUCUUGAUCGAAGCCCCGGUAAACGGCGGCCGUAACUAUAACGGUCCUAAGGUAGCGAAAUUCCUUGUCGGGUAAGUUCCGACCUGCACGAAUGGCGUAAUGAUGGCCAGGCUGUCUCCACCCGAGACUCAGUGAAAUUGAACUCGCUGUGAAGAUGCAGUGUACCCGCGGCAAGACGGAAAGACCCCGUGAACCUUUACUAUAGCUUGACACUGAACAUUGAGCCUUGAUGUGUAGGAUAGGUGGGAGGCUUUGAAGUGUGGACGCCAGUCUGCAUGGAGCCGGCCUUGAAAUACCACCCUUUAAUGUUUGAUGUUCUAACGUUGGCCCCUGACCGGGGUUGCGGACAGUGUCUGGUGGGUAGUUUGACUGGGGCGGUCUCCUCCUAAAGAGUAACGGAGGAGCACGAAGGUUGGCUAAUCCUGGUCGGACAUCAGGAGGUUAGUGCAAUGGCAUAAGCCAGCUUGACUGCGAGCGUGACGGCGCGAGCAGGUGCGAAAGCAGGUCAUAGUGAUCCGGUGGUUCUGAAUGGAAGGGCCAUCGCUCAACGGAUAAAAGGUACUCCGGGGAUAACAGGCUGAUACCGCCCAAGAGUUCAUAUCGACGGCGGUGUUUGGCACCUCGAUGUCGGCUCAUCACAUCCUGGGGCUGAAGUAGGUCCCAAGGGUAUGGCUGUUCGCCAUUUAAAGUGGUACGCGAGCUGGGUUUAGAACGUCGUGAGACAGUUCGGUCCCUAUCUGCCGUGGGCGCUGGAGAACUGAGGGGGGCUGCUCCUAGUACGAGAGGACCGGAGUGGACGCAUCACUGGUGUUCGGGUUGUCAUGCCAAUGGCACUGCCCGGUAGCUAAAUGCGGAAGAGAUAAGUGCUGAAAGCAUCUAAGCACGAAACUUGCCCCGAGAUGAGUUCUCCCUGACUCCUUGAGAGUCCUGAAGGAACGUUGAAGACGACGACGUUGAUAGGCCGGGUGUGUAAGCGCAGCGAUGCGUUGAGCUAACCGGUACUAAUGAACCGUGAGGCUUAACCUU